RNAcentral lists this ribosomal RNA (492 nucleotides) under uncultured bacterium. RNAcentral describes it as "partial 16S ribosomal RNA". It matches the Rfam family "Bacterial small subunit ribosomal RNA", at positions 29 to 507 of the family's 1533-position model. The record is from RNAcentral.
AGUGAACGCUGGCGGUAGGCCUAACACAUGCAAGUCGAACGGCAGCACAGUAAGAGCUUGCUCUUACGGGUGGCGAGUGGCGGACGGGUGAGGAAUACAUCGGAAUCUACUUUUUCGUGGGGGAUAACGUAGGGAAACUUACGCUAAUACCGCAUACGACCUACGGGUGAAAGCAGGGGAUCUUCUGACCUUGCGCGAUUGAAUGAGCCGAUGUCGAAUUAGCUAGUUGGCGGGGUAAAGGCCCACCAAGGCGACGAUCCGUAGCUGGUCUGAGAGGAUGAUCAGCCACACUGGAACUGAGACACGGUCCAGACUCCUACGGGAGGCAGCAGUGGGGAAUAUUGGACAAUGGGCGCAAGCCUGAUCCAGCCAUACCGCGUGGGUGAAGAAGGCCUUCGGGUUGUAAAGCCCUUUUGUUGGGAAAGAAAAGCAGCAGGUUAAUACCCCGCUGUUCUGACGGUACCCAAAGAAUAAGCACCGGCUAACUUCGUG